GAUGAAGAACGCAGCGAAAUGCGAUACGUAAUGUGAAUUGCAGAAUUCAGUGAAUCAUCGAAUCUUUGAACGCACAUUGCGCCCCCUGGCAUUCCGGGGGGCAUGCCUGUCCGAGCGUCAUUUCUGCCCUCAAGCACGGCUUGUGUGUUGGGUGUGGUCCCCCCGGGGACCUGCCCGAAAGGCAGCGGCGACGUCCGUCUGGUCCUCGAGCGUAUGGGGCUCUGUCACUCGCUCGGGAAGGACCUGCGGGGGUUGGUCACCACUAUAUUUUACCACGGUUGACCUCGGAUCAGGUAGGAGUUACCCGCUGAACUUAAGCAUAUCAAUAAGCGGAGGA
Molecule: unclassified non-coding RNA, 337 nt
Filed under: soil metagenome
Description: partial contains 5.8S ribosomal RNA, internal transcribed spacer 2, and large subunit ribosomal RNA
Rfam family: 5.8S ribosomal RNA (bases 1-120)
Source: RNAcentral